UUCCGAUGCAUGACGCAAUUAAUCCACUGUUGAUUGGUAUUCUGCCACUGCAUGUAGGGAUGUUUGUUUGUUUGUUUGUUUGGGCGGCUGAAACUGAAUUAGAGGCGGGAAAUGGUGCGUGGAAGGGCACGACGACUACGUCGAAAGAUGGUGAGGUUUCAUCAGUCUUGACAAACUGCUCACCCAGGGUGUUUCAGCAUUUUGUACACAAAAGACACAGAGACAGUGUAGACAGACGUAGACGAAGCGCUGUCUAACUACGCUGUCCCUGUAUCCUUUGUCAGGUAAAUGGUAAAAAAAAUGGAAUUACCGACAUGUCCCAACUUACAUUCUUCCAUGCAUAUUUAGGCGGGCGCUAAACAUUUCAUCCAAACCCUAUAUGGUACUGCUCACUGACGUAAUCACAGCAGCCGUAAUUUUCUACAGCUAGCAAGCACCGUUGGAAAGCUGCGAGCUUUUUCGGUACACUUAUAUCUAACAGUGUUGCGAAAGCAGUGAGUAGACCCACAGUUAAAUGUCCUUCGCGAUCACAUGGGCACUACCUAGAGAACGGUAACAAAAUAAAAAUGCAAGACGUCUUUCAAAUGAACCUUGUGCAUCACCGAUACUUCGACACUUCGAGCCACCAGAACGUUGAAUGCAACAGGGCUCGUGCACCUUGCACUGGGCGCACGUUGAAGAACGUCCAAAGUUAACCCGGAGCUUCCCACUACAGCGUCCCUCGUAAUAUGCCGUGCAGUAUCGAGACGUCAAACCCCAAAUUUUAAUUUAAAGCAUCGUAAUGCACCGCCG
RNAcentral lists this long non-coding RNA (792 nucleotides) under Dermacentor andersoni. RNAcentral describes it as "uncharacterized LOC126522431". The record is from RNAcentral. Lineage: Eukaryota; Metazoa; Arthropoda; Arachnida; Ixodida; Ixodidae.